CACGCGAGUGGAUGCCAACUCCCCAAAACCCUCUCUCAGUUCGGACUGGAGUCUGCAACCCGACUCCAUGAAGCUGGAUUCGCUAGUAAUCGCGCAUCAGCCACGGCGCGGUGAAUACGUUCCCGGGCCUUGUACACACCGCCCGUCAAGCCAUGGGAGCCGGGGGUACCUGAAGUGCGUAACCGCGAGGAGCGCCCUAGGGUAAAACUGGUGACUGGGGCUAAGUCGUAACAAGGUACC
Molecule: ribosomal RNA, 240 nt
Filed under: uncultured bacterium
Lineage: Bacteria
Description: partial 16S ribosomal RNA
Rfam family: Bacterial small subunit ribosomal RNA
Source: RNAcentral